RNAcentral lists this ribosomal RNA (497 nucleotides) under uncultured bacterium. Its description in RNAcentral is "partial 16S ribosomal RNA". It matches the Rfam family "Bacterial small subunit ribosomal RNA", at positions 28 to 507 of the family's 1533-position model. The record is from RNAcentral.
GAUGAACGCUGGCGGCGUGCCUAAUAUAUGCAAGUCGAGCGAACGGACGAGAAGCUUGCUUCUCUGAUGUUAGCGGCGGACGGGUGAGUAACACGUGGAUAACCUACCUAUAAGACUGGGAUAACUUCGGGAAACCGGAGCUAAUACCGGAUAAUAUUUUGAACCGCAUGGUUCAAAAGUGAAAGACGGUCUUGCUGUCACUUAUAGAUGGAUCCGCGCUGCAUUAGCUAGUUGGUAAGGUAACGGCUUACCAAGGCAACGAUGCAUAGCCGACCUGAGAGGGUGAUCGGCCACACUGGAACUGAGACACGGUCCAGACUCCUACGGGAGGCAGCAGUAGGGAAUCUUCCGCAAUGGGCGAAAGCCUGACGGAGCAACGCCGCGUGAGUGAUGAAGGUCUUCGGAUCGUAAAACUCUGUUAUUAGGGAAGAACAUAUGUGUAAGUAACUGUGCACGUCUUGACGGUACCUAAUCAGAAAGCCACGGCUAACUACGUG